This 253-nucleotide ribosomal RNA is filed under the name uncultured bacterium. RNAcentral describes it as "partial 16S ribosomal RNA". It matches the Rfam family "Bacterial small subunit ribosomal RNA", at positions 524 to 776 of the family's 1533-position model. The record is from RNAcentral.
UACAGAGGGUGCGAGCGUUAAUCGGAAUUACUGGGCGUAAAGGGCUCGUAGGCGGCCAACUAAGUCAUACGUGAAAUCCCUCGGCUUAACCGGGGAACUGCGUCUGAUACUGGAUGGCUUGAGUUCGGGAGAGGGAUGCGGAAUUCCAGGUGUAGCGGUGAAAUGCGUAGAUAUCUGGAGGAACACCGGUGGCGAAGGCGGCAUCCUGGACCGAUACUGACGCUGAGGAGCGAAAGCCAGGGGAGCAAACGGG